CACCAGUGGGAAUUUUCACAAUGGGGGGAACCCUGAGGCAGCCAUGCCGGGUGUAUGAAAAAGUCCUUCGGUUUGUAAAGUACGUUCGGUAGUGAGAAAGAAAGUGUAUGUAAUUGUUGCAAUAAUUGACGUUAAUUACAGAAGAAGCACCGGUUAACUCCGUGCCAGCAGCCGCGGUAAUACGGAGGGUGCGAGCGUUUAUCGGAAUGACUGGGCGUAAAGGGCAUGUAGGCGGAUAAUUAAUUUAGGUGUGAAAGCCCUGGGUUCAACGUGGGAAUUGCACUUAAAACUGGUUAUCUGGAGUAUUGUAGAGGAAGGUAGAAUUCCACGUGUAGCGGUGAAAUGCGUAGAGAUGUGGAGGAAUACCGGUGGGGAAGGCGGCCUUCUGUACAGAUACUGACGUUGAGAUGGGAAAGCGUGGGGAGCAACCAGGAUUAGAUCCCCUGGUUUCCCCCCUUUUUCUUUUCCCUUUGGAGUGGGUUGCUUCGCCCCUUGGGCUCCGAAGCUAACGCGAUAAACCGACCGCCU
RNAcentral lists this ribosomal RNA (528 nucleotides) under Gilliamella apicola. Its description in RNAcentral is "bacterial SSU rRNA". It matches the Rfam family "Bacterial small subunit ribosomal RNA", at positions 349 to 874 of the family's 1533-position model. The record is from RNAcentral. Lineage: Bacteria; Pseudomonadati; Pseudomonadota; Gammaproteobacteria; Orbales; Orbaceae.